Molecule: signal recognition particle RNA, 99 nt
Filed under: Candidatus Pelagibacter sp. RS40
Lineage: Bacteria; Pseudomonadati; Pseudomonadota; Alphaproteobacteria; Candidatus Pelagibacterales; Candidatus Pelagibacteraceae
Also listed under: 1 other name
Description: signal recognition particle sRNA small type
Rfam family: Bacterial small signal recognition particle RNA
About the family: The signal recognition particle (SRP) is a universally conserved ribonucleoprotein involved in the co-translational targeting of proteins to membranes. Archaeal SRP consists of a 7S RNA and homologues of the eukaryotic SRP19 and SRP54 proteins. In most bacteria, the SRP consists of a 4.5S RNA and the Ffh protein (a homologue of the eukaryotic SRP54 protein).
Source: RNAcentral
UUUGGGGGCCAAUCAGGUGGAGUUACCAUGAACUCCCCCAGGCUUGAAAAAGAGCAAGGGUAAUGAGUAUUUUCCAGGUUGGUUGGUCUCCUUUUAUUA